Molecule: ribosomal RNA, 587 nt
Filed under: uncultured bacterium
Lineage: Bacteria
Description: bacterial SSU rRNA
Rfam family: Bacterial small subunit ribosomal RNA
Source: RNAcentral
CCUACGGGAGGCAGCAGUGGGGAAUCUUGCGCAAUGGGCGAAAGCCUGACGCAGCAACGCCGCGUGCGGGAUGAAGGCCUUCGGGUUGUAAACCGCUUUUAACAGGAACGAAAAUGACGGUACCUGUAGAAUAAGGUGCGGCCAACUACGUGCCAGCAGCCGCGGUGACACGUAGGCACCAAGCGUUGUCCGGAUUUAUUGGGCGUAAAGAGCUCGUAGGCGGUUCGAUAAGUCGGGUGUGAAAACUCUGGGCUUAACCCAGAGACGCCACUCGAUACUAUUGUGACUAGAGUUCGGUAGGGGAGCGGGGAAUUCCUAGUGUAGCGGUGAAAUGCGCAGAUAUUAGGAGGAACACCGGUGGCGAAGGCGCCGCUCUGGGCCGAAACUGACGCUGAGGAGCGAAAGCGUGGGUAGCAAACAGGAUUAGAUACCCUGGUAGUCCACGCCGUAAACGGUGGGCACUAGGUGUGGGCUCCAACCAACGGAGUCCGCGCCGUCGCUAACGCAUUAAGUGCCCCGCCUGGGGAGUCGGCCGCAAGGUUAAACUUAAGGAAUUGACGGCUGNGANGCACGCGACACGAGGAGAG